RNAcentral lists this transfer RNA (69 nucleotides) under Lepidurus apus lubbocki. Its description in RNAcentral is "tRNA-Leu". Lineage: Eukaryota; Metazoa; Arthropoda; Branchiopoda; Notostraca; Triopsidae. The record is from RNAcentral.
UCUAAAAUGGCAGAUAAGUGCAAUGGAUUUAAGCUCCAUAAAUAAGAAUGAAAUUUUCUUUUUUAGAAC